UCUCCCAUAACUCAAUGACUCCACCUUCUCCAGCCGGCAAAGAUAAAGAACAGAGUCUUACAAGAACAGAGUCCUGCCUUCACUAGCCUGCCACCAUCGGUCAGCCGGCAAAACCACUACUGGUAAAACUAAUUUCUUGCGUUUUCCCCUUUCAGUUGUAAUACUUAGGAUUUUCUUUCUUAAUCUUCUUCUCCUUCUAAGUGAGAGUUUUUUUUGUGUAAUUUGGCUGGCUCAAUUUUUUUUUCCUUCCCUUUGAUGUUCACACUGUCACGCUACCGUAUUGUGCUUUUUCCUGAGACUUCGUAAGGGUGCGGAGAGAGUUUAGAAGGCUGUCACCACCAGUCUACCGCCACUAUCAGAUGGCUGGAACUGCUGCAGGUAAAGAUAAAUUCUGAUGAUGGGUUUCAUUGGUAAUAAAAAGAGAUAUUUGGAUGACCAGUUUGAAGUUUGAAGAUUUCAAGAAUUGCAAGAUGACAACAUGUAAAUUUUGUGGGCAAAGGUUGCUGGCCAAAUUUGGUGUGGCAUUGGGUUACAUUCAUAAGGUAUCAUGGUGACAUUCCAUCUUUGUUUGUAUGAUCAUCUCUAAAAGGGUCUUGAUAUCUUGAUGAUGCAGAAGAUGUAGAUACAUCUGUGUUCAGCUGAAUAUCUCUGCUUAACCAAUUUAUUUUCACUUUAAUAUGAUAAUAUUUGUUACACAUAAUACUUUUGAUCUUAUUGUUUUACCCACUAAAAGAAGAGGAAGUUCUUUCAACAUUAAGAGUCCUCUUAUUUGUAGGGAAGAGAGUCAGAUUACGGAAAUGGGCAAUUUCAUCAUUAUUUGAAGUAUGUUGUAGUUUCAUUCUCAAAGGUUCUUGCUACGUCAUAUUGAACUGGACCUGU
This is a long non-coding RNA of Quercus robur (English oak), 879 nucleotides long. RefSeq lists it as uncharacterized. The record is from RefSeq and is a predicted model, not a curated record. NCBI's taxonomy places the organism in Eukaryota, Viridiplantae, Streptophyta, Magnoliopsida, Fagales, Fagaceae. The transcript has 3 exons.